Non-coding RNA from Brachypodium distachyon (stiff brome), 141 nucleotides. Lineage: Eukaryota; Viridiplantae; Streptophyta; Magnoliopsida; Poales; Poaceae. The record is from RefSeq and is marked provisional.
UCCAAGUUGGUGUUUGCGUGAUUCAGAACUACUUCCUCUGUUCCUAAAUUCUUGUCAUUGUUUUAGUUCAAAUUUGUAUUAAAGCCACGACAAGAAUUUAGGAAUGGAGGGAGUAUGAGAUAUGCUACUCCCUUAGCUUUU